RNAcentral lists this ribosomal RNA (253 nucleotides) under uncultured bacterium. RNAcentral describes it as "partial 16S ribosomal RNA". It matches the Rfam family "Bacterial small subunit ribosomal RNA", at positions 524 to 776 of the family's 1533-position model. The record is from RNAcentral.
UACGUAGGCAGCGAGCGUUGUUCGGAAUUACUGGGCGUAAAGAGUGUGUAGGCGGUGCUCCCAGUCUGUUGUGAAAUCUCCCGGCUUAACUGGGAGGGUGCAGCGGAAACUAGAGUGCUAGAGGGUGGGAGAGGUAAGCGGAAUUCCUGGUGUAGCGGUGAAAUGCGUAGAUAUCAGGAGGAACACCGGUGGCGAAGGCGGUGGUCUGGGCCGGCACUGACGCUGAGGAGCGAAAGCGUGGGUAGCAAACAGG